This 459-nucleotide ribosomal RNA is filed under the name uncultured bacterium. Its description in RNAcentral is "partial 16S ribosomal RNA". It matches the Rfam family "Bacterial small subunit ribosomal RNA", at positions 338 to 795 of the family's 1533-position model. The record is from RNAcentral.
CCUACGGGAGGCAGCAGUGAGGAAUAUUGGUCAAUGGCCGCAGGGCUGAACCAGCCAAGCCGCGUGAGGGAUGAAGGUCCUAGGGAUCGUAAACCUCUUUUGUCAGGGAGCAAAGAGUGCGACGCGUCGCGUUUUGCGAGUACCUGAAGAAAAAGCAUCGGCUAACUCCGUGCCAGCAGCCGGGGUAAUACGGAGGAUGCGAGCGUUAUCCGGUUUUAUGGGGUUUAAGGGGUGCGCAGGCGGAAUGUCAAGUCAGCGGUAAAAUUACGGGGCUCAACCCCGUCGUGCCGUUGAAACUGGCGUUCUUGAGUGAGCGAGAAGUAUGCGGAAUGCGUGGUGUAGCGGUGAAAUGCAUAGAUAUCACGCAGAACUCCGAUUGCGAAGGCAGCAUGCCGGCGCUCAACUGACGCUCAGGCACGAAAGCGUGGGUAUCGAACAGGAUUAGAUACCCGUGUAGUC